This is a non-coding RNA of Canis lupus familiaris (dog), 89 nucleotides long. Lineage: Eukaryota; Metazoa; Chordata; Mammalia; Carnivora; Canidae. The record is from Rfam.
CGGGGGAGGCCGGAUCCUGGGCUGUGUCCCGGCGCCCUGUGCUCCGGAGCCUGUGCUGUUGGAUUCGUGCUCCUGCCCCGCAGCCCCCA